CCUACGGGCGGCUGCAGUGGGGAAUAUUGGACAAUGGGGGGAACCCUGAUCCAGCCAUGCCGCGUGUGUGAAGAAGGCCCUCGGGUUGUAAAGCACUUUCAGUGAGGAAGAACGCCUGGUGGUUAAUACCCAUCAGGAAAGACAUCACUCACAGAAGAAGCACCGGCUAACUCCGUGCCAGCAGCCGCGGUAAUACGGAGGGUGCGAGCGUUAAUCGGAAUUACUGGGCGUAAAGCGCGCGUAGGUGGCUUGAUAAGCCGGUUGUGAAAGCCCCGGGCUCAACCUGGGAACGGCAUCCGGAACUGUCAAGCUAGAGUGCAGGAGAGGAAGGUAGAAUUCCCGGUGUAGCGGUGAUAUGCGUAGAGAUCGGGAGGAAUACCAGUGGCGAAGGCGGCCUUCUGGACUGACACUGACACUGAGGUGCGAAAGCGUGGGUAGCAAACAGGAUUAGAUACCCGAGUAGUC
RNAcentral lists this ribosomal RNA (465 nucleotides) under Vreelandella stevensii. Its description in RNAcentral is "partial 16S ribosomal RNA". It matches the Rfam family "Bacterial small subunit ribosomal RNA", at positions 338 to 795 of the family's 1533-position model. The record is from RNAcentral. Lineage: Bacteria; Pseudomonadati; Pseudomonadota; Gammaproteobacteria; Oceanospirillales; Halomonadaceae.